GUCAUAGAAACCUGACGACACUGCCUCCGAAGACAACCUAACCUUGAGGAGGUGAAUGAAGUGAAUGAUGUCGCAUCCAACCAAUAAGAGAAACGGGCGGCCGUCAGACAUGACGCCAAUGGGAUUCGGAUUCAACAGCCAUUUUGUGAACCAUACAAGCAUUUCCAGGUCAGACGGAUCAGCAAGGAAGCUUCCAGUGUUUAACUGGAAACAGUUACAUUAAUGGCGAUGCAUCGCCCUUUUAAAAGAAAUGAAACUUACAUAAGAGCAACAAUUAUCACCCAACUGUUUCCAAGUUUAUUGUUUUGGUACUGAGCUUUGUUAUUCAUAAUUUUGAAAGCAACCUUUUUUAUCAGAUGUUUCACUGAUGGUUCAGGCUGUUCAAUGUUGCUCUGGUCUAUUUACUGUGAAUUGGCCAUAUAGUUCCAUUUGUCUGUAUGUAAUUGGCAUUUCUGCAAGUUAUGGUUCUGUUUUGGCAGGUUCUCCAGUUCCAGCUGAAUGUCUCUCCAUCUUGAGUUCUUGCAUUUCAGGUUCUGCUAUCCAAUUGCUGUUGCACGUUGUCAUGCCAUUAAUUCUCCUUUUCCUGUUAGCUGAAUUUUUCUUAUCUUAUAGAAAGAUUAAAUAGUUACAGCAUGGAAGGAGGCUAUUUGGCCUGUCACAUCCAUGCUGGCUUUCUACAAGAGCAAUUCACCUAGUGUCACUCCCCUGCCUUUGCCUGAGGCCCUGCAAUUUUUUUCCUUUUCACAUAAUGAUCCAAUUCCCUUUUGAAUACCAUGAAUCAAUCUGCCUCUGUCUCUGAAUACCCUUAAGCUGUGGGGCGACCACAUCUAUAAAUGUGCUAUCCACUAAGCUCUCAACCUCACAGAUGCGUAAUAAUGAUGCCAGCUGCUGCCCAAGCUACAAACUCAAACUGCUAAGCUGAUGUCACUUCCUACACAUAUAGUUAUCCAGAGUAGGGGAAAUGCCUUGGAGUUCCCACUUGGAACAGGAUGUGCCCUCUAUGCGUCUGAGUUGCCCUGCCAUCCCUCUAUUUAUUAGUUAAUAAAACAUAUUACUUUUUUAAAAAGACUCACCGGUUACUCACCAGUCAGCUGCUUCUCUUCAGCUGAUGUCAAUUAAACAUAGGGAGCUUACCGGAAAUCAUUUUACAAAACCUUAUGUUUUGAAUAACUGAAAAUUUAGAACUGUUUAGCAUUACUGUCUCUUGUUAUUUAAUUAUAACUUUAUCCUCUGGAUCUGAUUGACGAAGCACUGUUUAUAAUUACGUGGUAAAAUACAAAAUUGGCUUCCAUCUUUAGCACCUGCACUAAUUGAUCAAUCAAAUUAGCUUUACUUUAUAGUUGAUUAAUUUAAAUUAAAUUUAAAACUUACCAGCAAACUCACCCCAGGUGAAUCCUUGUCCUGUGACUCACUUCACUUCUGGGACAGCCCGAUCCCACACAGCAUUAGCUGUUCAACUCCCGUUCUUUUUUUAAAAAUCAACUAAUCACUUACCUACUUCUUCCUUUAAACUUCUCUUUAAACACUUUCUUUAACUUCUCUUAGCCAUGGUUGGAACUCUUUUCCCUUUGGGGCUUUUACUACUUAAGGGAAUAUUUAUUGCAAAUUAUGAAUUAAUUUUUUAAAUGUUUGUCAUUGUUUAUCGCAGAAUCAGAUCUAAUGUUGGAUCAGGGAUCAUAUACAACAGCACAUCCCUUCAGCUGUUCACAACAGACAAAGUACUGACCGUACUCAACCAACCUAUGCUUGCAAAACUCAGAACACAGUGUCCAUUAGAUGUGAUUCCGCGAUUGGACAACACUUGCUAAAUAAUCCCAAUAAGAAUUACACUGACCAACAAUCUAAGAUUAUCCGUCGGGCUUGCAGUGUGGUUCACUUACGCAUGCUAAGAGCUACAUAUAUUCACGCAUAGGGCCCUGUCCUUUGCAAACUGAAAGAACAUGUCCACGCAUUGCUCCCUUUCCAACUAAACAAGAGCUUGUUGGACAGCCACUCCCUGGUUCAUUCCCCAUGGCAAUGGCUUGACCAAUCAGAGUUGACCUGUCUGGUUUAAAUUUAACCAAAGCUUGGCAGUCAACUGUAUGUUCUCCAUGGCAAUGCCUCUGCCAAUCAGAGUCUACUUGCAAACCAAUCAGCACCCUCUUCUCAGACAGUAUAAAUAAUUUUUCCCAUUGAGAUUUGAUAUUCUUGCAAAUCUGUCAUGAAGAGUGCAAGACGAAAAGCUUCUACGGCAUGUCUUUUUUCAGAAAUACAAAUUAUUGUUGCAUACUGAGACCUCCAGUAUAGGCAUUAGAACAUGGUAAAGGUCCCUGAUAUUUGGCAGAAGUGCAUAGGUGGUUUGAGCUCUAUAACGCUCCUUGGCUAAGACUGGAAAACAAUCAAGAGGGAGGGAAUCAUCUGUAAUGUUGAAGGAAAGAGGACCUCAGUAGCAACCAUAGUGUGAGGAAACCCUGAGAAUAACUCUGAAUGGUAGCUAAAGUGAGUAGGGAGAGAAAAAGAUCCACAGUAAGAAGGAACAAGGAAAUCGACCUAAACAAUCCUGCCAGAUUCACCCACAUUCCAGAUAGAAAUUGACAAUUUAACCUAGUUGCCACAUUAAUGGACAUCAGGUAUUGUCUUUAUAUGUGAGCCUUCUGUUGGAUUUGCUGAGGCCUGAGACUAAGGGACUAGAUUUUACUGAACUAUAUUAACUUGUAAUGGGUAAGCAUGAUGUCCUGUUAAGUAAAUUGUACAGUAGUAAACAGCUGUAACUUGGAGUUAAUUAAUUGCGUCGUGUAUCUCAACCUCUAUUAUGUAAAAUAAUUGUUUUUAAAAAUUAUCACCAUGCAGUUUUUGACCAGAAGUUAUUUAAGAAUAUUAGUAGUUGUUGCAGCAGUUUAAGAUCACCUGUGAUCUGACUGAUUAAGUGCAUCUCACUCCUUCCUCCUGGUUAAAGACCAUGGUGAGACAUGAAAAUAGGCAAAGCUCUAGACUUUACUCUGGAUGGAAAUAAAUUGUUCCAAUCAACAAGUAGUCGUUGUGAUUAUGUGUCAGGUCAGCUGACUGACAUAACUAUAUGAGAAAAAAAGAAACUAUCAAUAACACAGCAGAAUAUAAACCAAAACACUGAAAACCCUUAAAAGAAUUAUUUUUAUAUAAGCCCGCAGCCUCCCUUGGUUUGGAGUUGAAUGUUAAGAAGUUAAAAAGAUAUAUUCCUUGAAAAUAUGUGAAUGUAUUACAGUUUGGAGUAAUAGUUCUGUGAAUUGCAAAGGCUCAUCAAUGGAGUUGGGUAUCUCCUUUCUAUAGUUAAUAAAUUCCUGUCUAAUCUCA
Molecule: long non-coding RNA, 3309 nt
Organism: Carcharodon carcharias (great white shark)
Lineage: Eukaryota; Metazoa; Chordata; Chondrichthyes; Lamniformes; Lamnidae
Exons: 2
Source: RefSeq, a predicted model, not a curated record